Molecule: ribosomal RNA, 342 nt
Filed under: Orfelia nemoralis
Lineage: Eukaryota; Metazoa; Arthropoda; Insecta; Diptera; Keroplatidae
Description: partial 16S ribosomal RNA
Source: RNAcentral
UUUUUUAAUUGGAAGCUUGUAUGAAUGAUUGAAUGAGAUAUAUGCUGUUUCAUAAAAAUUUAAUUAAAAUUUAAUUUUUUAGUUAAAAAGCUAAAAUAAAGUUAAAGGACGAGAAGACCCUAUAAAGUUUUAUAUUUUAUAAAUAUUAAUAUUUUUAGAUUAAUUAUUAUUUUUAUUUGUAAAUUAUUUUAUUGGGGAGAUAAUAAAAUUUAUAAAACUUUUAUUUUUUAAAACAUAAAUUAAUGAGUUUAUAUGAUCCUGUAUUAUGGAUUAAAAAAUUAAAUUACUUUAGGGAUAACAGCGUUAUUUUUUUUAAAAGUUCAUAUUUAUAAAAAAGAUUGC